CAAAAUUUCUCCUGCGUGAAAAUUUAUUACUGUUAAUAAUUUCAUCUGUUUAAGCAUAUUUUUUGUUUGCUUACGAAUUAAUCCCUGCACUUUGCUGAUUUUAUUUUACUUUCUGAAUUUAUACUAGCUGAACCCCCCUUUGCAGAAUCACAGCGACAUUGUCUAGGAGCGUUACAGAUUUCUUGCUGAAAGAUUUUGUUUUUGAAAAGUGCAUUCUGAUGUGAAACUAAUUUGUAAUUAGAAGAUAUGAGCAUUUUUUCUGUUCAUUUCACCGGAAAUAGAACUCUAAUCCAAAGCCCAUGAAGACGACUAUGAUAAAUAAUAAACAGGAUCUGAAUUCAAGUCUUCAGCUAGCAUUUGAAUAAAUUCUAACGAUGACCAUUUAGGCUUAAUAGUUUACCAUUGCUGAUCUGGAUCUUAUUAUGCAUAUUAAGAUCAAUUCUGGUCAACUAUUCAGCUAGUAAUCUUAUUGUAUGGUUUGAAGUUGAAAUAUCUGCAUUGCUCUGCUCUGUUGGGGAUCAUUUUAAAUUGUAAACUGGAAUCAGUGUAAGUUAAUAUAAAUGUUUUGUUUUA
This is a long non-coding RNA of Parasteatoda tepidariorum (common house spider), 573 nucleotides long. RefSeq lists it as uncharacterized. Lineage: Eukaryota; Metazoa; Arthropoda; Arachnida; Araneae; Theridiidae. The record is from RefSeq and is a predicted model, not a curated record.